GACGAACGCUGGCGGCGUGCUUAACACAUGCAAGUCGAACGGUAAGGCCCUUCGGGGUACACGAGUGGCGAACGGGUGAGUAACACGUGGGUGAUCUGCCCUGCACUUCGGGAUAAGCCUGGGAAACUGGGUCUAAUACCGGAUAGGACUCCGGACUGCAUGGUCUGGGGUGGAAAGCUUUUGCGGUGUGGGAUGGGCCCGCGGCCUAUCAGCUUGUUGGUGGGGUGAUGGCCUACCAAGGCGACGACGGGUAGCCGGCCUGAGAGGGUGACCGGCCACACUCGGACUGAGAAACGGCCCAGGCUCCUACGGGAGGCAGCAGGGGGGAAUAUUGCACAAUGGGCGCAAGCCUGAUGCAGCGACGCCGCGUGAGGGAUGCCGGCCUUCGGGUUGUAAACCUCUUUCAGCAUCGACGAAGCGAAAGUGACGGUAGGUGCAGAAGAAGGACCGGCCAACUACGUGCCAGCAGCCGCCGUAA
This 478-nucleotide ribosomal RNA is filed under the name uncultured bacterium. RNAcentral describes it as "partial 16S ribosomal RNA". It matches the Rfam family "Bacterial small subunit ribosomal RNA", at positions 28 to 523 of the family's 1533-position model. The record is from RNAcentral.